ACUGUGUGUUUGAUGGUCAGAACUACGACAGUAUCUGAUCAUCUUCGAACCUCCGACUUUCAUUCUUGAUUAAUGAAAACAUUCUUGGCAAAUGCUUUC
Thalassophryne amazonica is the source of this 99-nucleotide long non-coding RNA. RefSeq lists it as uncharacterized. The record is from RefSeq and is a predicted model, not a curated record. The transcript has 3 exons. Lineage: Eukaryota; Metazoa; Chordata; Actinopteri; Batrachoidiformes; Batrachoididae.